GUUAAACUGCUGCUUUAGCCCAGCUAGCAUCUAAGCUAGGUGAACAGGCUAAUUAAUGCAGGGUCGACUCAGGGAUUAAAUGAGUGCACUUCUGUCUGUCACAGCAACAACCUGGAUUAACCCAGGAUGAUAUACAAGAUAUGGUGAAGAGAGAUGAACCUGUGACAGAAGAGUAGAACACGCUCAACAAACAGGUCCAGGCAACAACAGGCAGAGUGCAGCCAGAGGGAUUAGAGCCACUGUCAGCAAGAGAAAGGAGCACAGGAAAUGAUCGUGGCCCCAUGGAGGAAAGUCAGAGGCCAGGGCUGCCAGUCCAGCUGCUGCAGCCCAGGAAAGUGCAAGGGAUGCAGUCAUGAUCCACACAGGACACAUGGUGCAUCAGUUUGUUUGCGUGGGAGCCGGCACGCUUCAUCUUCAUGGGAGCAUCAGAGAACUUGGAGCCCAUCAUCAAACCGUAGUGCAA
Seriola aureovittata is the source of this 463-nucleotide long non-coding RNA. RefSeq lists it as uncharacterized. NCBI's taxonomy places the organism in Eukaryota, Metazoa, Chordata, Actinopteri, Carangiformes, Carangidae. The record is from RefSeq and is a predicted model, not a curated record. The transcript is spliced from 5 exons.